UGAGGAAUAUUGGUCAAUGGGCGCAAGCCUGAACCAGCCAUCCCGCGUGAAGGAAGAAUGCGCUAUGCGUUGUAAACUUCUUUUCCGGAGGAAUAAAAUCUUGUACGUGUACAGGACUGAAGGUACUCCGGGAAUAAGCAUCGGCUAACUCCGUGCCAGCAGCCGCGGUAAUACGGAGGAUGCGAGCGUUAUCCGGAUUUAUUGGGUUUAAAGUGUGCGUAGGCGGAUUAAUAAGUCAGUGGUGAAAACCGUCGGCUUAACUGGAGACUUGCCAUUGAUACUGUUAGUCUUGAGUGUGGUUAAGGUAGUCGGAAUGUGUGAUGUAGCGGUGAAAUGCUUAGAUAUUACACAGAACACCGAUUGCGAAGGCAGCUUACUGAGCCAUAACUGACGCUGAUGCACGAAAGCGUGGGGAGCGAACA
This 422-nucleotide ribosomal RNA is filed under the name uncultured prokaryote. RNAcentral's name for it is "bacterial SSU rRNA". It matches the Rfam family "Bacterial small subunit ribosomal RNA", at positions 355 to 774 of the family's 1533-position model. The record is from RNAcentral.